This 504-nucleotide ribosomal RNA is filed under the name uncultured bacterium. Its description in RNAcentral is "partial 16S ribosomal RNA". It matches the Rfam family "Bacterial small subunit ribosomal RNA", at positions 30 to 523 of the family's 1533-position model. The record is from RNAcentral.
AUUGAACGCUGGCGGCAGGCCUAACACAUGCAAGUCGAACGGUAGCACAGAGAGCUUGCUCUCGGGUGACGAGUGGCGGACGGGUGAGUAACGUCUGGGAAACUGCCCGAUGGAGGGGGAUAACUACUGGAAACGGUAGCUAAUACCGCAUAACGUCGCAAGACCAAAGUGGGGGACCUUCGGGCCUCACACCAUCGGAUGUGCCCAGAUGGGAUUAGCUAGUAGGUGGGGUAAUGGCUCACCUAGGCGACGAUCCCUAGCUGGUCUGAGAGGAUAACCAGCCACACAGGAACUGAGACACGGUCCAGAUUCCUACGGGAGGAAGGAGUGGGGAAUAUUGCACAAUGGGCGCAAGCCUGAUGCAGCCAUGCCGCGUGUAUGAAGAAGGCCUUCGGGUUGUAAAGUACUUUCAGCGGGGAGGAAGGCGGUGAAGUUAAUAGCUUCACCGAUUGACGUUACCCGCAGAAGAAGCACCGGCUAACUCCGUGCCAGCCGCCGCAGUAA